Molecule: long non-coding RNA, 320 nt
Filed under: Elaeis guineensis (African oil palm)
Lineage: Eukaryota; Viridiplantae; Streptophyta; Magnoliopsida; Arecales; Arecaceae
Description: long non-coding RNA (EGUI_LNC081169)
Source: RNAcentral
UGCGGAGGUUAGGUUUUAAGUGUUGCAUGAAUGCCCAAAACAUAAUAAUAGUUUCAUGGUAAAUCAUUCUCUCAUUGGAGGAAGAAAGGCAAUAUAAUGUGAUGCAGUGUUAGUAUGUUUUGCUAUUUCACCUUAAAGUUGUGAUGCAGUGUUAGUAUGUUUUGCUAUUUCACCUUAAAGUUGGGACCUCAGCCCAUAGAUUUUAACUAGUGCCAUUCAUAAUUAUCAGAAACUCAUGUAUUUCCCUCGUGUUGUAAGGAUCUUGUGCCAGUCAUCAAGAACAAAAAACAAUCACCAAAAUUAUCUCAAAUGAAAGAACA